RNAcentral lists this ribosomal RNA (440 nucleotides) under uncultured bacterium. RNAcentral's name for it is "partial 16S ribosomal RNA". It matches the Rfam family "Bacterial small subunit ribosomal RNA", at positions 338 to 795 of the family's 1533-position model. The record is from RNAcentral.
CCUACGGGUGGCUGCAGUGGGGAAUAUUGCACAAUGGGGGAAACCCUGAUGCAGCGACGCCGCGUGAAGGAAGAAGUAUUUCGGUAUGUAAACUUCUAUCAGCAGGGAAGAAAAUGACGGUACCUGACUAAGAAGCCCCGGCUAACUACGUGCCAGCAGCCGCGGUAAUACGUAGGGGGCAAGCGUUAUCCGGAUUUACUGGGUGUAAGGGGAGCGUAGGCGGUUCAGCAAGUCAGAAGUGAAAGCCCGGGGCUCAACUCCGGGACUGCUUUUGAAACUGUUGAACUAAAUUGCAGGAGAGGUAAGUGGAAUUCCUAGUGUAGCGGUGAAAUGCGUAGAUAUUAGGAGGAACACCAGUGGCGAAGGCGGUCUGCUGGACAGCAACUGACGCUGAGGCGCGAAAGCGUGGGGAGCAAACAGGAUUAGAUACCCUAGUAGUC